GUCAGUGCCACGAAAGACAAAAGUCAGGGAACUGGUACAGUUUACAAGAGACUAAAGAGACAGAGCAACUCAAAGCAAUGAGGGACACAGAAGUGGAUCAUGGAUGAAGAAAAGGACACCACAAAGAAAGCUACUCAGCAACUGAGCACCAUGGUAAUUUCUCUGGGGCAUCUGACCACCUUGAGAGAAAGACAUCAAGUCAUAUGGCCCACCCAGAGAACUUGAAGCUGAAGCUGGCAGUCUACAAGGCUCACCCAUGGGGUCAGAACUCCUAAGAAGCCUUUUUAGUACCUCACUCCUAAAUGUGAAUAGACAACCAGCGAUUGUCAGACAUCUAAGGAAAACCAACUUGAAAGCUGGGAAAAUGGCAAUGGACUGAUGAGAAAUUCAUGGUGAAGUAGUGAGGAAAAUUUUACCCAUUGCUCAGAAAGCACUAAGGAUGAAAACAAGUUGAUGCAGAGAUGUUUUUAAAUGGAGAACUACAACUGAAUAUUAUAUUAACCAUUCUCUUUCCUGCUCCUCCGUUCCCAGUG
Molecule: long non-coding RNA, 533 nt
Organism: Cervus elaphus (red deer)
Lineage: Eukaryota; Metazoa; Chordata; Mammalia; Artiodactyla; Cervidae
Exons: 3
Source: RefSeq, a predicted model, not a curated record